Molecule: ribosomal RNA, 575 nt
Filed under: uncultured bacterium
Lineage: Bacteria
Description: partial 16S ribosomal RNA
Rfam family: Bacterial small subunit ribosomal RNA
Source: RNAcentral
UGGGGAAUAUUGCACAAUGGGCGCAAGCCUGAUGCAGCCAUGCCGCGUGUGUGAAGAAGGCCUUCGGGUUGUAAAGCACUUUCAGCGAGGAGGAAGGUGGUGAGCUUAAUACGCUCAUCAAUUGACGUUACUCGCAGAAGAAGCACCGGCUAACUCCGUGCCAGCAGCCGCGGUAAUACGGAGGGUGCAAGCGUUAAUCGGAAUUACUGGGCGUAAAGCGCACGCAGGCGGUUUGUUAAGUCAGAUGUGAAAUCCCCGGGCUCAACCUGGGAACUGCAUUUGAAACUGGCAAGCUAGAGUCUCGUAGAGGGGGGUAGAAUUCCAGGUGUAGCGGUGAAAUGCGUAGAGAUCUGGAGGAAUACCGGUGGCGAAGGCGGCCCCCUGGACGAAGACUGACGCUCAGGUGCGAAAGCGCGGGGGAGCAAACAGGAUUAGAUACCCUGGUAGUCCACGCUGCAAACGAUGUCGAUUUUGGAGGUUGUGCCCUUGAGGCGUGGCUUCCGGAGCUAACGCGUUAAAUCGACCGCCUGGGGAGUACGGCCGCAAGGUUAAAACUCAAAUGAAUUGACGGGGUC